Molecule: ribosomal RNA, 272 nt
Filed under: uncultured bacterium
Lineage: Bacteria
Description: partial 16S ribosomal RNA
Rfam family: Bacterial small subunit ribosomal RNA
Source: RNAcentral
GAUGAACGUUGGCGGCGUGCCUAACACAUGCAAGUCGAACGAAAGUAGCAAUACUUUAGUGGCGCACGGGUGAGUAACACGUAGCUUACCUCCCUCUCAGCGCGGGAUAACGACUCGAAAGAGUUGCUAAUACCGCAUAAGCUCACGGGUUCUAGAGACUUGUGAGAAAAGGUGCAAAUCACUGAGAGACGGGGCUGCGGCCCAUCAGCUAGUUGGCGCGGUAAAGGCGCACCAAGGCGACGACGGGUAGGGGACCUGAGAGGGUCGACCCC